AGCUCCAAUAGCGUAUAUUAAUGUUGCUGCAGUUGAAAAGCUCGUAGUUGGAUCUUGGGCCUCGUCGACUGGUGGUUGCCUACCGGCGAUCUUACCACGUGCGUGCGAGCGCCCCUCGGUCGAGCUCCGUCGGAUAGCCUUAACCGGCCGUCUGAGGCGCCCGACCAGUUUACUUUGAAAAAAUUAGAGUGUUCAAAGCAGGCUCAUCCACAGCCCGAAUAAAUGUGCAUGGAAUAAUGGAAGAAGACCUUUCGGUUCUCUCUUUCGUUGGUUUCCGGAACCGAGGUAAUGAUUAAAAGGGACAGCCGGGGGCAUUAGUACUGCUACGCGAGAGGUGAAAUUCUUGGACCGUAGCAUGACUAACUACAGCGAAAGCAUUUGCCAAGAAUGUUUUCAUUAA
RNAcentral lists this ribosomal RNA (400 nucleotides) under phytoplankton environmental sample. RNAcentral's name for it is "partial small subunit ribosomal RNA". It matches the Rfam family "Eukaryotic small subunit ribosomal RNA", at positions 587 to 976 of the family's 1831-position model. The record is from RNAcentral.